AGAGAAGAGAAAGGGAGGGAGUUAGGCUUGGAUCUAGGAGUCUUUGCGACCGUUGCGAGCUCGGCUACACGAUAGAAAAUUGUUGGUGGAACUUAUUGAGAAGUAAGGAACAAGCCGAGCCCUAUUUUGUACAAGGGGAACUCUUUUAGUACCAAAGGGUUGAGGUCCAGGCGAAGGAUCCAGUGGUGGACGGGGAAAAGAGCAAAGCUAGGGGUUUGCUUGUGAUUUGUAAAGAACUGCAACCCCUUUCUUUUGAGCAAAUAUAUUGUAAUGUAUUUAAGAUUAGGGUGCCAGUAGGAUAUGAUUAUGUGUGUGUGUGUGAAUAUGUGUGGAUUGUGUGCUUGUGUAUGAAUUUUUGUCUGUUUGCAGACUUGUGGCUAGGAAACUUGGUUAUGGU
Molecule: long non-coding RNA, 397 nt
Organism: Prosopis cineraria
Lineage: Eukaryota; Viridiplantae; Streptophyta; Magnoliopsida; Fabales; Fabaceae
Exons: 3
Source: RefSeq, a predicted model, not a curated record